AUACGGAGGGUGCAAGCGUUAUUCGGAAUCACUGGGCGUAAAGGACGCGUAGGCGGGUUGGCAAGUCAGAUGUGAAAUCCUACAGCUUAACUGUAGAACUGCAUUUGAAACUGCUAACCUAGAGUAUGGGAGGGGGAGAUGGAAUUAGUGGUGUAGGGGUAAAAUCCGUAGAUAUCAAUAGGAAUACCGAAAGCGAAGGCGAUCUCCUGGAACAUAACUGACGCUAAGGCGUGAAAGCGUGGGGAGCAAACAGGAUUAGAAACCCUAGUAGUCC
Molecule: ribosomal RNA, 274 nt
Filed under: uncultured bacterium
Lineage: Bacteria
Description: partial 16S ribosomal RNA
Rfam family: Bacterial small subunit ribosomal RNA
Source: RNAcentral